Molecule: ribosomal RNA, 253 nt
Filed under: uncultured bacterium
Lineage: Bacteria
Description: partial 16S ribosomal RNA
Rfam family: Bacterial small subunit ribosomal RNA
Source: RNAcentral
UACGGAGGGUGCAAGCGUUAUCCGGAUUCACUGGGCUUAAAGGGUGCGUAGGCGGGCAGGUAAGUCAGUGGUGAAAUCUCCGGGCUUAACUCGGAAACUGCCAUUGAUACUAUCUGUCUUGAAUACCGUGGAGGUUAGCGGAAUAUGUCAUGUAGCGGUGAAAUGCUUAGAUAUGACAUAGAACACCAAUUGCGAAGGCAGCUGGCUACACGAAUAUUGACACUGAUGCACGAAAGCGUGGGGAUCAAACAGG